UGCGUAGGCGGAUAAAUAAGUCAGUGGUGAAAUCUUUCGGCUCAACCGGGAAACUGCCAUUGAUACUGUUUAUCUUGAGUUCGGCAGAGGUAGGCGGAAUGUGUAAUGUAGCGGUGAAAUGCUUAGAUAUUACACAGAACACCAAUUGCGUAGGCAGCUUACUAUACCGACACUGACGCUGAGGCACGAAAGCGUGGGGAGCGAACAGGAUUAGAUACCCUGGUAGUCC
This 229-nucleotide ribosomal RNA is filed under the name uncultured bacterium. RNAcentral's name for it is "partial 16S ribosomal RNA". It matches the Rfam family "Bacterial small subunit ribosomal RNA", at positions 568 to 796 of the family's 1533-position model. The record is from RNAcentral.